This 926-nucleotide long non-coding RNA is filed under the name Homo sapiens (human). Its description in RNAcentral is "non-protein coding lnc-TXNRD1-4:1". The record is from RNAcentral. Lineage: Eukaryota; Metazoa; Chordata; Mammalia; Primates; Hominidae.
UUGUGAUCCACCCACCUUGGCCUCCCAAAGUGCUGGGAUUACAGGCAUGAGCCACCGCGCCCGGCCUAAUUUUUGUAUUUUUAGUAGAGACGGAGUUUCACCAUAUUGGCCAGGCUGGUCCCAAACUCCUGACCUCAGGUGAUCUGCCUGCCUCGGCCUCCCAAAGUGCUGGGAUUACAGGCGUGAGCCACUAUGCCCGGCACUAUGUGGGAAGAUUCUAAAGUGCAUUCCAGAGGACAGGGCUCCUGGCUGGUCUGCGUCUUGUCUAGAGGCAGCCUGGGAAUCCGGAUGAAGACGAGUGGGCAGGGCCUGCAGAGAAUCCAAGUGCAUGAGGGCUUGGGCGAAAGCAGCGUCCGGGAAGGGAGGCCAGGCGGAGCAUUGCAGCAUCUUCCAGCCCUACAGGCAUGCGUUCCAGGGAUUGUGAACCUAAGCCAGGGACAUAGUCAUGAAGAGCUAUUCCCUGCAUCCACUGUGGCUUCACCCCAGGAGGGCACCGAAGGAGUAACACUGGUGCUCAGCAGGCUCUCCCCAUGUCACAGAGGAUUUGGUGAUCAAAGCCAGUGUCCCUCAGAAUUUUUCUUCACAGUGCUGAUCAUGGUGGGUGUGAUGGUUAAUUUUAGGUGUCAGCCUGACUGGGCUCAGGGAUGCCGAGGUAGCUGAUGGGUCGGCCUGUAAGGGAUGAGUCCACACAAGCAUUUACACAGGCAGAAGGAGGGCAAGGUCAUUACAUCCCUUUUGGACACAGUAAAUGUCCAGUUGUCCUUUUCCCUGCCACUGUAUAGUAAGAUGGUGGUCAGGACCUGGGGGUGCCAAUGACUGAUCUCAACCAUACCUCUAAGCUGAGAAGGGAAAGGUCACUGAUUAUUACUUAAGCCAGACUUAAAGAACAGUCCCAAAGCUUCUGACAGCCAAGACAAUGUCCUCUU